Molecule: RNA transcript, 1929 nt
Organism: Cannabis sativa
Lineage: Eukaryota; Viridiplantae; Streptophyta; Magnoliopsida; Rosales; Cannabaceae
Gene name: lysine-specific demethylase JMJ32
Exons: 6
Source: RefSeq, a predicted model, not a curated record
AUUGGCAGACCUAUUUAGAAUGUCCAAGGUGUAAGAGAUGCCAUCAGGGGAGUGUCAAGCUAGGCCCUACUUCCAGUAUGGGGUAGUAGGCCAUCUGAAAAGAAACUGCCGACAAAUAAGGCAAAGGAAACCAAUACAAGAACUUGUUCGAGCAUAGGCAUUACAGUUUGGCAGAGCUUCAUUCUAGGGUUACUGGCAAUUAUCACAGAGGUUUCAAUUCCUUUCUUAUUUUGAUUUAUACAGAGACGACCACCUUGUGAAGUUUUAGGCUUUUAACAUUGAAAGUUUUCCCUUUCUCUAACUGCAACAGGAGAUUAUAAUUUCAGUUUAAAAAUUUGAGCACAAACUUUGAUUUUCAUGUUCAGUUGCGAAUAAUUUUAGUCAAUAUAAAUUAGAACCCAUGAAUUUGAAAAUUUCAGUAUCUUGCUUAGCUAGUUUGUAGUUAUAAUGACGAUGUAACAUAGUUGUUGAAAACCCAAUCAGGAGAAAAGGGAAUCAACUAGUGUUUCUCAGACAAUGGAGAUUGAAACAUUGUGGGAAGAAGUGAGAGAGCUGAGCCUUGGACUUUCAGGGGAAGUAGAGCGUCUGAACUCACCCCCAACCCCAAUCCAAUUCCUAAGGGACUUUGUCUCUCAAAACAAGCCAUGUAUAAUCUCUAAUGCUAUCAACCACUGGCCAGCCCUUUCAAACUGGUCCAAUGAUUCCUAUCUUAUAAAAUCCCUUUCCAGCUCGUCUUCUUCCGAUCCAUUGGUGUCUGUACACCUCACCCCUAAUGGCCGAGCUGAUGCUCUUGCCCCUCUAACUAAGGCCAAUGAUUAUCUCUGUUUUGCCUCUGCUCAUGUUCAACACAUGCCUUUCCCGGAAGCUCUAAGCCUUAUCAGCUCCACUGGUUCCAAUUUUGUUGCUUAUGCUCAGCAACAAAAUGAUUGCUUUCGGUUGGAGUACUCAGCGCUAUCUCCCGAUUGUGAUGCCAACAUUCCUUGGGCAUCGGAUGCUCUUGGCUGCCUCCCUGAGGCUGUUAAUCUCUGGAUUGGUAAUCAUUUGUCUGAGACAUCAUUCCACAAGGACCAUUACGAAAAUCUAUAUGCUGUUGUGACUGGACGCAAGCAUUUCCUGCUUCUUCCUCCUACGGAUGUUCAUCGUAUGUACAUUCGAGAUUAUCCUGCUGCCCAAUAUUUGUAUUCUCAGGACACUAAAGAUUUCACUUUGGAAUUGGAUAAACCGCUUAGAUAUGUACCUUGGUGUAGUGUGAAUCCCUACCCUUCUGGGAAAAACAAAGUUGAGGAAAUGGAGAAAUUUCCUUUAUUUUUUCAGGGUCCUAAGCCAUUUGAAUGUACCAUCAAUCCUGGAGAGAUUCUAUACUUGCCAAGCAUGUGGUUUCAUCAUGUUAGACAAAGUCCAGAUGAUAAUGGGCGAGUUAUUGCCGUAAAUUAUUGGUAUGAUAUGCAGUUUGAUAUCAAAUAUGCUUAUUUCAACUUUCUGCAAUCAAUUCAUUACCCAGUACUUAAGAAUACAUCGCUUAAGAUCGAGAGCGAGGACCAGCUGAAAACAAAUUCAAGUGAAGAUGAACUCUGUGCUGGUGUUUCUUAACAAAUUAUAUAGCCACCAUUGUGCUUCUUAGAGCAGAAGUUGAGGUAAGUGGAAGAAGUAAAACCUUCUCAACAAUACAAAACAAAAGGAAAGUCCUAGCCCCGUCCCAGCCCCGCCCCUGCAAACUUACACGAUGGAUUAAAAGCGAUGAUACAGCGGUGUACCUGAAAUGGCAAGAACUUCACCAACUUCUUCACUUGAAUAGCUUAGUCCUCCAUGGUUUUUGGAACUCACAGCCCAUAAUGGAAAAAUCUAAGAAAAUAGAUUGCCCAAGAAGUACUAUGGUUAUUAGAAAAAAAAAAAAAAAAACCUUUAUUUAUUGAAUUAAUGCAAGAAUUU